AAUGAACGUUGGCGGCAUGGAUUAGGCAUGCAAGUCGAGCGAGAAGAGUCUUUUGCUUGCAUUAGACUUGGACAGCGGCGCAAGGGUGAGUAACGCGUAGUUAUCUGCCCCCGGGUCCGGAAUAGCCAUGGGAAACCGUGAGUAAUGCCGGAUAACAUCUCAGGAUCAAAGGUGAGAUUCCGCCCGGGGAGGGGACUGCGUCCUACUAGCUUGUUGGUGGGGUAAUGGCCUACCAAGGCUUAGAUGGGUAGCGGGCGUGAGAGCGUGGCCCGUCACACUGGGACUGAGACACUGCCCAGACACCUACGGGUGGCUGCAGUCGAGAAUCUUCGGCAAUGGGCGAAAGCCUGACCGAGCAAUGCCGCGUGCGGGAUGAAGGCCCUCGGGUUGUAAACCGCGAAAGUGAGGAGGAAGGGCCUGUGAAGAGCAGGUCUUGACCGAUCCACAGUAAGGACGGGCUAAGUUCG
RNAcentral lists this ribosomal RNA (467 nucleotides) under uncultured Planctomycetota bacterium. RNAcentral's name for it is "bacterial SSU rRNA". It matches the Rfam family "Bacterial small subunit ribosomal RNA", at positions 29 to 505 of the family's 1533-position model. The record is from RNAcentral. Lineage: Bacteria; Pseudomonadati; Planctomycetota.